AGCUAAUACAUGCUAAAAACCCCGACUUCGGAAGGGGUGUGUUUAUUAGGAUUAAAAACCAAUGCCCUUCGGGGGCUCGUUGGGUGAUUCAUAAUAACUUCUCCGAAUCGCGUGGCCUUGCGCCGUCUAUGGUUCAUUCAAAUUUCUUCCCUAUCAACUUUCGAUGCUAGAGUAGUGUUCUAGCAUGGUUACAACGGGUGACGGGAUGGUUAGGGGCUC
RNAcentral lists this ribosomal RNA (219 nucleotides) under Colletotrichum graminicola. RNAcentral describes it as "partial 18S ribosomal RNA". It matches the Rfam family "Eukaryotic small subunit ribosomal RNA", at positions 162 to 382 of the family's 1831-position model. Lineage: Eukaryota; Fungi; Ascomycota; Sordariomycetes; Glomerellales; Glomerellaceae. The record is from RNAcentral.